RNAcentral lists this microRNA precursor (200 nucleotides) under Xyrichtys novacula (pearly razorfish). Lineage: Eukaryota; Metazoa; Chordata; Actinopteri; Labriformes; Labridae. The record is from RNAcentral.
AGAUGGAGGACAGAGAGAGGGAGGAGGAGGAGGUGAGGAGGAGGAGGUGGCGAGGAGGAGAAGAAGAAACUCCAAAUGGUGUGUCUGAUUUAAGAAAGCACUCCAUGUUUGUUCUUCAGGUUUUUAACUCUGCUGUUUCCAUCUGUCCUCCUCCAUCACCUCCUCCUCCUCCUCCUCCUGCUCCCCCUCCCCUCAGAUCU